RNAcentral lists this transfer RNA (67 nucleotides) under Squalogadus modificatus (tadpole whiptail). RNAcentral's name for it is "tRNA-Tyr". It matches the Rfam family "tRNA". From Rfam's summary of the family: Transfer RNA (tRNA) molecules are approximately 80 nucleotides in length. Their secondary structure includes four short double-helical elements and three loops (D, anti-codon, and T loops). Further hydrogen bonds mediate the characteristic L-shaped molecular structure. tRNAs have two regions of fundamental functional importance: the anti-codon, which is responsible for specific mRNA codon recognition, and the 3' end, to which the tRNAs corresponding amino acid is attached (by aminoacyl-tRNA synthetases). tRNAs cope with the degeneracy of the genetic code in two manners: having more than one tRNA (with a specific anti-codon) for a particular amino acid; and 'wobble' base-pairing, i.e. permitting non-standard base-pairing at the 3rd anti-codon position. The record is from RNAcentral. Lineage: Eukaryota; Metazoa; Chordata; Actinopteri; Gadiformes; Macrouridae.
GGUAGGAUGGCCGAGUAAGCGGUGGAUUGUAGCCCCACAUACAGAGGUUUAAGUCCUCUUCUUACCA